Molecule: ribosomal RNA, 235 nt
Filed under: uncultured Methylococcaceae bacterium
Lineage: Bacteria; Pseudomonadati; Pseudomonadota; Gammaproteobacteria; Methylococcales; Methylococcaceae
Description: partial 16S ribosomal RNA
Rfam family: Bacterial small subunit ribosomal RNA
Source: RNAcentral
GACUGCCGCUGAUAAAGCGGAGGAAGGUGGGGACGACGUCAAGUCAUCAUGGCCCUUAUGGUAGGGCUACACACGUGCUACAAUGGUCGGUACAGAGGGCUGCAAAACUGCGAGGUCAAGCAAAUCCCACAAAGCCGAUCGUAGUCCGGAUUGGAGUCUGCAACUCGACUCCAUGAAGUCGGAAUCGCUAGUAAUCGCGAAUCAGAAUGUCGCGGUGAAUACGUUCCCGGGCCUU